CGCUCUUUGUUAGUAUAUUAAUAUAUAAAGAGUCGUGCCUGCUCAAUGAUUUUUUAAAUUAAAUAGCCGCGGUACCCUGACCGUGCAAAGGUAGCAUAAUCAUUUGCCUCAUAAUUGGAGGCUGGAAUGAAUGGCUUGACGAAGGCUUAACUGUCUUUUUAUUUUUAAUUGUAAAUUAAUUUUUAGGUGAAGAAGCUUAAAUGAGGAAAAGGGACGAGAAGACCCUAUUGAGUUUUAGUUUUUUAUAUUUAAGUUUGUUGUAUAUUAAUAGAAUGACUUGUAAUUAUGAAGCUUUAGUUGGGGCAACUGAGGAAUAUAAAGAAACUUCCUUAAUUUUAUAUAAAAUUAUUAUUAUUGAUCCACUGUAUAUAGUGAUUAGUAGAUAUAAUUACCAUAGGGAUAACAGCGUAAUUUUUUCUGAGAGUUCUAAUCGAAGAAGAAGAUUGCGACCUCGAUGUUGGACUAAGGGAUUCUUAGAGGAGCAAAAAUUUCUAAAGUAAGUCUGUUCGACUUUUAAAACCUUACA
This 526-nucleotide ribosomal RNA is filed under the name Ennucula cumingii. RNAcentral's name for it is "partial 16S ribosomal RNA". It matches the Rfam family "Bacterial large subunit ribosomal RNA", at positions 1816 to 2600 of the family's 2925-position model. Lineage: Eukaryota; Metazoa; Mollusca; Bivalvia; Nuculida; Nuculidae. The record is from RNAcentral.